RNAcentral lists this ribosomal RNA (540 nucleotides) under Mycolicibacterium chitae. RNAcentral describes it as "bacterial SSU rRNA". It matches the Rfam family "Bacterial small subunit ribosomal RNA", at positions 44 to 601 of the family's 1533-position model. The record is from RNAcentral. Lineage: Bacteria; Bacillati; Actinomycetota; Actinomycetes; Mycobacteriales; Mycobacteriaceae.
GUGCUUAACACAUGCAAGUCGAACGGAAAGGCCCUUCGGGGUACUCGAGUGGCGAACGGGUGAGUAACACGUGGGUGAUCUGCCCUGCACUUUGGGAUAAGCCUGGGAAACUGGGUCUAAUACCGAAUAUGAUCAUGGCCUUCAUGGGUUGUGGUGGAAAGCUUUUGCGGUGUGGGAUGGGCCCGCGGCCUAUCAGCUUGUUGGUGGGGUAAUGGCCUACCAAGGCGACGACGGGUAGCCGGCCUGAGAGGGUGACCGGCCACACUGGGACUGAGAUACGGCCCAGACUCCUACGGGAGGCAGCAGUGGGGAAUAUUGCACAAUGGGCGCAAGCCUGAUGCAGCGACGCCGCGUGGGGGAUGACGGCCUUCGGGUUGUAAACCUCUUUCAGUCACGACGAAGCGCAAGUGACGGUAGUGACAGAAGAAGCACCGGCCAACUACGUGCCAGCAGCCGCGGUAAUACGUAGGGUGCGAGCGUUGUCCGGAAUUACUGGGCGUAAAGAGCUCGUAGGUGGUUUGUCGCGUUGUUCGUGAAAUC